AGUUAAUGUUGCCAUCAACAAACAUUUAAAUGCUCAAUUUACUUCACUGAAUACAGACACAACAAAUAUGAAAAUCUAAAUUCAUACACAUGCUACUUAAUAUGAAAGUGCUUUCUCUUUUUUAAAAAAAUACACCAAAUGGACACUUUUUACAUAGAUCAAAUGUGCUCUUACAAUGCAAAAUUAACCUUCAUUUUCAGGUUAUACAUUUUAAAACUGUAGCUAUCAACACCAAUCUAGGAACUCUAAUGCUAAGAGUGCUAAAAACUAUUUCAUUUCUUGUAAGGAGGACUCUAAUACAAUAUCCAAUGUAAAGAAUACAUCUAUAUAUAAUCUUAACAUGUUUCCUGUAAAGAUAAAAAAUGUUUUCUUUCCCCUUGGUGAUCUUUGUUCAUCCUGGGUGGAUCAUCUUUUGAGGUUUUAAUAAUAUGAAAGUCCUAUUUUAGAACAAUGGGAGGAACCAAAAGGGGAAUUAAAAAAUUGGUUAACGUGUGCUUGAAGCAUCCAAAAAACACCAGUUUAUCACAACAACUGGUCUUUGCUAAAAUUAACAAAAUUUUAAUAAGCAAGAAGACAAAAAGCACUAAUUUAAAAGGCUUGAAAUACCUGCCACCAUUGUCAGUAUCCAUCCAUCCAACCUUCAUUUACUACAAGCACAAUACUACUUUGAGGAUAGUUUUUGGAACUUAUUUUGACUUUUUCCCCUAUAGGAAAAACAAAGACCAAGCUUUUGAAGGAGAGGACUGGGAAUCUGGUUUAAAUGUCUACAUCCAAAAUUGUAUCAUCUUUGCACAUUCAGUUGACUUUUUAAAAUUUAAGAAUACAUAUACAAAAAGUACUUAUGGAAUACAUAUUUUAACAGCGUAACAUACUUGAAAAAUUAGUUACACUUUAAAAAUUAAAACACUUGAAAAGUAUUUUUUAAACCAGUACCAUGGAAUAACUUUUUGAAACCCAGAUUAUCUGGCUACUUAGAUGAUAGUCUUCCUGUUUUCAAUUAGUUUGAAAGAUUCUAAUAUAGAUUCUAACCCAACAGUUUAUUUGGAUAUUUUCCUGCUUUAAAAAGCUGCAACAGGCUAGGCACAGCGGCUCAUGCCUAUAAUCCCGGCACUUUGGGAGGCUGAGGUGGGCGGAUCACUUGAGGUCAGGAGUUCGAGUCCAGCCUGGCCAACAUGGUGAAACCCCGUCUCUACUAAAAAUACAAAAAACUGGCCAGGCGUAGUGGUGCAUGCCUGUAAUCCCAGCUACUUGGGAGGACAAGGUGGGAGAAUCGCUUGAACCUGGGAGGCGGAGGUUGCACUGAGCGGAGAUUACACCACUGCACUCAAGCCUGGGUGACAGAGUGAGACUCUGUCUCAAAACAAACAAAACAAAAAAGCUGAAACAAUGAUAAACUAUUUUUAAUAGAUAUAUUCAUUCUAUAUCUUUAUGGAGAAUGUUAGUAUCAACUGAUGUUAACACGUAAAGCUGUGUCAACAGGAAUUACAAUGUGAUUCACAACAUCCCAGAGUGACAAGGAAGGGACCUUAACCCAAUAAAUGAGUCUCCCAUUCAAUGUUUACCCCCUAGAUACUUACCAAUUCAAGCAUGGAACUGUUUCAUGUUUACCCGUUCUGCAUUUAAAGGAUGCCCUUUUACUAUAUAUGUGCUUUCUAGAAUAUUACUGAUUCUUACAUAUCUUUAAAAGGUGGAUAUUUGUAAUAGCUUAAAAUACAGUAACAUUUAUUUUGUGUGAUCUUUCUUAAUUUAAAAACAAAAAAUAAAUGAACAAGUCAGUUCCAAUG
RNAcentral lists this non-coding RNA (1784 nucleotides) under Pongo abelii (Sumatran orangutan). The record is from RNAcentral. Lineage: Eukaryota; Metazoa; Chordata; Mammalia; Primates; Hominidae.